Molecule: long non-coding RNA, 924 nt
Filed under: Apteryx owenii (little spotted kiwi)
Lineage: Eukaryota; Metazoa; Chordata; Aves; Apterygiformes; Apterygidae
Description: lncRNA (ENSAOWG00000000034.1)
Source: RNAcentral
GCUCUUGCACAUGGACAUCAAGCCAUGAAAGAAGGACUUGUUUUUUUUCAAUAAUUUCUAUCCCUUUCUUAUAUAACAUAAGGUUUUGGAUCUGUUCUUCUCAAAUAUUAUGUGCAUUAGAGUGCUUAGCUUCCAGAAAUGCCUCAGGACAGAAGCACAGAAAUAAUUUCUAAAAGCAGAAGCUACCUAGCUUGUUUUUACAAGCUUUUAGUUAUUGGAGACAGUGAUACAAAAACAUGGCUGUUAGUGGGACUGACUUCUUGCUGAAGGCUUUGAUUCUACAGAAAUUUGUUGAGAAGAAGACAUUUCCAGGCAUUGAAUUACACAUUGUUCAAACUUGUAAAGGUUUCUCAUUGACUGUGAUUGCAGCACCUACAUUUGUAAGUUUUAAUCUAAGGACUUUUUUUUUUUCCCUUUUUGGCAAUUGUGAUGAAGUCUAUCUGAGAAGGUGACAUGUUGGGGUAUACAAAAUAGUUUUAUUAUUGUUCAGUGGCUGGGAGAUGGUGUAUCGCAGGACUCUGCCUUUGGCCCAGUAAGGAGGCUGGAGCCCUUUUUCCGUUUUAUUCUCAAACACUAGAUUUUUUUCCUCACAAUACUAACUUAUUUGUGUUUUUAAACAGAAAUAUUUUUCUGAUGUAUAAAGAGUUGGAGUCACUUACAAUUCCUCAGCUAAUGGAAUAACAUUGUUUACUAAGCAUGUGGUUUCCUUUAUUCCUGUUCUAGAUACUGCAAAACUCAGCAUGAGCUGAAUGAGCUCUUGCGGGGGGGUGGGACAAACUAAUAGUAUUAAAACUAGCUUUUCAGCAAAGGCAUAAUCAAGCCACUGUCAAGCUCCCAUUGACUUUAUGGACUUUCAUAUCCCUUGAAUUAGAAAAAGUGGUGGUUACUAAUAAAGAGGACUUUAAGAAUGGCUUGUGCUAGUCU